RNAcentral lists this ribosomal RNA (301 nucleotides) under uncultured fungus. Its description in RNAcentral is "eukaryotic LSU rRNA". The stretch from base 1 to 52 matches the Rfam family "5.8S ribosomal RNA", at positions 103 to 154 of the family's 154-position model. Lineage: Eukaryota; Fungi. The record is from RNAcentral.
AACGCACCUUGCGCUCCCUGGUAUUCCGGGGAGCAUGCCUGUUUGAGUGUCGUGAAAUCAUCAUGGUCAUGAUCUUUAAUUAAUCAUGGCUUGGUUUUGGAGGUUAUGUUGGCUUUUUAUUAAGUUGACUCCUCUUAAAUACAUUAGCUCAGUGUUUAAUGCUUAGAGCGGUUCACGGUGUGAUAAUUGUCUACGCCGUUCUGUGAAGCAUAACUAUGGGACUCGGCUUCCAAUAGUCCUUCACUGGACAAUAUCUUUGACCUUUGACCUCAAAUCAGGUAGGAUUACCCGCUGAACUUAA